AUGGGAAGGGAGCUGUUAGGAGCAGCUUUCCCACACAGCAUUGCCUGUUUUGCUGUGGUCUGAGCACAGUGGCCCUUGAUCGUCUUCGGCCCAGAUCUCCCCAGACUGAAACGACGAGAAAGAAGAGAUGAGGUGGAUAACAAAACACAUCUGACUAGAUGUCAAGAGGCAAGGGUUUCAUCCCAUGCCAAAGGAGAGCAAAAGAAAAUGAGAACACAGCAGAGAAGUGCUGCGCACAGUCCUGACCCUCCUUGGCUUGAGAACCUGGCUGAAGGUGACAUCUGCAUCUUCUGCUGCUGGGGCCCUGGAGGAGUACUUCCAAAGCAGGAGGUGAUCCCGAGACAAGCACAGACACACAGGGAUGCAU
Molecule: long non-coding RNA, 367 nt
Organism: Eptesicus fuscus (big brown bat)
Lineage: Eukaryota; Metazoa; Chordata; Mammalia; Chiroptera; Vespertilionidae
Exons: 3
Source: RefSeq, a predicted model, not a curated record